UAUGAAGAAGGCCUUCGGGUUGUAAAGUACUUUCAGUUGUGAGGAAGGUUUCGUAGUUAAUAACUGCGUUGCUUGACGUUAGCAACAGAAGAAGCACCGGCUAACUCCGUGCCAGCAGCCGCGGUAAUACGGAGGGUGCGAGCGUUAAUCGGAAUUACUGGGCGUAAAGCGCAUGCAGGUGGUUUGUUAAGUCAGAUGUGAAAGCCCGGGGCUCAACCUCGGAAGGUCAUUUGAAACUGGCAAACUAGAGUACUGUAGAGGGGGGUAGAAUUUCAGGUGUAGCGGUGAAAUGCGUAGAGAUCUGAAGGAAUACCAGUGGCGAAGGCGGCCCCCUGGACAGAUACUGACACUCAGAUGCGAAAGCGUGGGGAGCAAACAGGAUUAGAUACCCUGGUAGUCCACGCCGUAAACGAUGUCUACUUGGAGGUUGUGGCCUUGAGCCGUGGCUUUCGGAGCUAACGCGUUAAGUAGACCGCCUGGGGAGUACGGUCGCAAGAUUAAAACUCAAAUGAAUUGACGGGGGCCCGCACAAGCGGUGGAGCAUGUGGUUUAAUUCGAUGCAACGCGAAGAACCUUACCUACUCUUGACAUCCAGAGAAUUUUCCAGAGAUGGAUUAGUGCCUUCGGGAACUCUGAGACAGGUGCUGCAUGGCUGUCGUCAGCUCGUGUUGUGAAAUGUUGGGUUAAGUCCCGCAACGAGCGCAACCCUUAUCCUUGUUUGCCAGCACGUAAUGGUGGGAACUCCAGGGAGACUGCCGGUGAUAAACCGGAGGAAGGUGGGGACGACGUCAAGUCAUCAUGGCCCUUACGAGUAGGGCUACACACGUGCUACAAUGGCGCAUACAGAGGGCAGCGAACUUGCGAAAGUAAGCGAAUCCCAAAAAGUGCGUCGUAGUCCGGAUUGGAGUCUGCAACUCGACUCCAUGAAGUCGGAAUCGCUAGUAAUCGUGGAUCAGAAUGCCACGGUGAAUACGUUCCCGGGCCUUGUACACACCGCCCGUCACACCAUGGGAGUGGGCUGCAAAAGAAGUAGGUAGUUUAACCUUCGGGAGGACGCUUACCACUUUGUGGUCAUGACUGGGUG
RNAcentral lists this ribosomal RNA (1084 nucleotides) under Vibrio sp. 8414M. Its description in RNAcentral is "bacterial SSU rRNA". It matches the Rfam family "Bacterial small subunit ribosomal RNA", at positions 404 to 1482 of the family's 1533-position model. Lineage: Bacteria; Pseudomonadati; Pseudomonadota; Gammaproteobacteria; Vibrionales; Vibrionaceae. The record is from RNAcentral.